CCGGGAAGGAACGCGGUCGCGCGUGAACAGCGUGAGGAAAGUCCGGGCACCACAGGGCAGGAUGCCAGCUAACGGCUGGGCGGCGAGCAGACGACCGUCGAACGGCGGAACCGUGCGAAGCCGACGGACAGUGCCACAGAAACGAGUCUGCCUCCCCGAGCGGGAAACCCGUGGGGCGGCGAGGGUGAAACGGUGCGGUAAGAGCGCACCAGGCGCCUUGGGAACGAGGCGCGCUGGUAAACCCCAUCCGGUGCAAGGUCCGAUAGUGGGGGAGAGGCGGCCCGCCUCUUCGAUCCCCAAGAUGACCGCUUGAGGCGAGCGGCGACGCUCGUCCCAGAGAGAUGACCGCGACUCCGUUCGGAGGACAGAACCCGGCUUACUCCCUUCCCGACACC
This 395-nucleotide RNase P RNA is filed under the name Deinococcus yavapaiensis KR-236. Its description in RNAcentral is "Bacterial RNase P class A". It matches the Rfam family "Bacterial RNase P class A". Rfam says of the family: Ribonuclease P (RNase P) is a ubiquitous endoribonuclease, found in archaea, bacteria and eukarya as well as chloroplasts and mitochondria. Its best characterised activity is the generation of mature 5'-ends of tRNAs by cleaving the 5'-leader elements of precursor-tRNAs. Cellular RNase Ps are ribonucleoproteins. Lineage: Bacteria; Thermotogati; Deinococcota; Deinococci; Deinococcales; Deinococcaceae. The record is from Rfam by way of RNAcentral.